AUGGAGUGGAUGGUGCCAAGGGGGACAAAGGAGAUGUUGGACUCGAAGGCCAGAAGGGCAAUCAGGGUGAUCGCGGAGAAUCAGGUUUACCAGGAGACAAAGGGGAGAAGGGAGAGAAGGUGCAGGAAGUUAUUAUUUCAUGCAGUUGUCCCACCUUGUUCCCUCGUGCUUGUGACUAAGUACAAGAUUCCUUUUUUAUUUAAGAUUUCUGUUUGUGCGGUCACGUUUCAAAGUGUCACCUGCUGUUACAGGGUUUCAGAGGCUUAACUGGACACAUUGGGAGUCCAGGCCUGGAUGGAGAAAAGGUUAGGCCUCAAUUAUCUUCUUAACAGACCAAAAAGAGAACUGUCUAACAAUGUUAUACAAAGAAAGUAUAUGUAUAUGCAACCUGACGU
RNAcentral lists this long non-coding RNA (395 nucleotides) under Sparus aurata (gilthead seabream). RNAcentral's name for it is "lncRNA (ENSSAUG00010027342.1)". The record is from RNAcentral. Lineage: Eukaryota; Metazoa; Chordata; Actinopteri; Spariformes; Sparidae.